Long non-coding RNA from Siniperca chuatsi (mandarin fish), 2644 nucleotides. RefSeq lists it as uncharacterized. The record is from RefSeq and is a predicted model, not a curated record. Lineage: Eukaryota; Metazoa; Chordata; Actinopteri; Centrarchiformes; Sinipercidae. The transcript is spliced from 2 exons.
ACAACAGGAGAAACAAUUUAUGUUGAUGGCUCUUCAAAAAAAAAAAAAUGAACUAGGAAAAACACAAACAGGUUAUGCUGUAGUGACCAAAGAUAAGAUAUUAAAAGCGGAACAAUUACCCUCACACUGCUCUGCCCAAGCUGCAGAGAUAGUGGCUCUAACAGAGGCAUGUAAAUGAAUGAAGAAUAAAGACGCUACUAUCUAUACAGAUAGCCAGUAUGCCUUUGCUACAGUCCAUACUUUUGCACAGUAUUGGCAAAAUAGAGGAAUGAUCACAUCCACAGAGAAACCAGUAACACAUGCAAACAUCCUAUCUAACCUACUCAAGGCAGUAAAGUUACCAAAACACCUCGCAGUUUGUAAAUGUGCAGCUCAUACCUCAGGGACAGAUCAAGCAUCACUAGGGAAUGCAUUUGCAGACAAAACAGCUAAACAAGCAGCCGAGGGACAGAUAAAAGUGCUUAUGCUGACCUCGGACACUGAUAUGACUGAUACAACACUCCAAGACAUGCAACAACAAGCACCACAGAAAGAAAAAGACUUAAAACACGGAGCACAACUACAGAAUGACAUCUAUGUAUGACCAGAGAAAAAACCAAUCCUUCCACACAACCUGUACAAAUGGGCUGCAAUAUUGAGCCAUGGUGUUACACAUGUCUCAACAGGAGGGAUGGUAUGGAUUUAACUCCUAUUCAAAACAUUUUUAUAGAGCAUGUUUGACCUGUGCUAAGCACAAUCCUCAGGGAAACUUAAGACCUAGGAGAGGGCGUUUCCCUUCACCACAGUAUCCGUUUCAAGCAAUACAUAUGGAUUUUAUAGAGUUAAAUCAGAGUGAAGGGAAAAAGUAUUGUCUGGUCAUAAUAGAUGCCUUCUCUAAAUGGGUAGAGCUGUUUCCAACCAAACACCCAGACGCAGUAACAGCGGCAAGAGCGUUAUGUAAAGACAUAAUACCCCGUUAUGGCACUCCGGAAAAACUUUACAGUGAUAAAGGAGCACAUUUUGUAAACCAAUCGAUCAAGAAGAUAGGAAUAAUGUUUCACAUCAAUCUAAAAAACCACUGCGCAUAUCAUCCUCAAAGUGCAGGAUUAGUGGAACGCAUGAAUGGCACUAUAAAAAACGGUUAAAGAAAUGCAUUGAAGAAACAAGGAGACCUUGGACUCAGUGCAUAGAUUUAGUGAAAAUGUAUAUAAAUAUCACAGCAACUUCAGGCUUAACUCCAUAUGAAACGCUGUUUGGUAGACCAUACAGGCUGCCGCAGUUUAAAAAUCAAUGGGAGCUGAGUGAAGAAACCAACCUAGCAGACUAUAUGAGAAAAAUGUUAGAAAAACAAAAAGGAAAACAAGCUGAUGAACAUCCUUCUGUUUCUCAACAGGAGAUCCAGUUAGUGGGACCAGGCGAUUGGGUGCUGAUACGAAGCAUUAAGAGAAAACAUUGGCACUCUCUCAAGUGGGAAGGGCCUUAUCAGGUAUUGUUGAACACUCCCACAGCCAUAAAAAUAGCUGAAAGAUCCACGUGGGUACAUCUUACUCACUGCAAAAAGGUCAUCUCCUCCGACAGUUCCACAUAGAAAGGUGACUCACAGUCUGAUGAUAGGGUGGACUCAGGUGUGUAGAACCUGAGGCCACCUGAAAGUCAGUGAAGUAUUUCCAAGACACCAGACUCAUUAGAGGACACUCUCGGGGAAGAUGGCGACUAGAUGGAUAAGCGAUGCCAUUAGGUGCUGGGGAGUGACAAUCGUAUUCAUAUUAAUUUUUCUUUUUACUUGGUACUCAUGGGAAGCUCCUGGGACUUCCCUAAAUAGCACUCAUGUUCCGCCCACUUCAUCCCAAGGUGUCACCCAACCACAUGCUAGAGUAAAACGCAGAGUAGGCUAUUACCACACAAAUGACCAGUACAAUGCCCAGCGAGUGGAGGCAGAAACGCUCCUCAUCCUGGCGCUCUAAUAUCGACCCUACGUAAAACGUAGACCGAAUCAAUUACAUCCAUUACAACGUACAGAAAUUGGGCAACUGGACACAGAGUGGGUUUGAGGCUGUUCAUGGACGGCUUUCCUCCACAUCACUGAUGCCAUUCCAGACCCGCAUAGCUCUUGACAUGCUGCUUGCAGAGAAAGGAGGUGUGUGUGCUAUGUUCAGAGAGCAAUGCUGCACCUUCAUUCCUAACAACACUGCAGCGGAUGGCAGUCUCACCAAGGCCAUAGACGGGUUGAAAACUGGACCGCUUUACCCAGAUGUAUCCGCUCCUGCAACAAAACCGAGAUAACGAUGAAGACACAGAUGAAGAAUCAGACCAUUGGCCUGAUUUGUUCCCUGAUCCAGGUGACUAUGAGUCGCCCUGUAAGUAACCUAACACACACUCUGAGUGUAAACAUUUGGACAGACUCAUAAAAAUGAUCUUGCAGUUGAAAAUCUAGCGAAGAGACUGAUUGAGUGAUAUGAGAAUUUGAGAACAAAAUGUGAUAAACAGGAGGGAAAUGUUAGAAUAAAGAUGUACAUAAGUUAUCCCAUUUAUGUUUUGUUCUUAGUAGCCUUUAAAGUGCACAGCAAUGCUGUGUGUGUAUAUGUGUGUUAUUAAACUUGUGUCUGUGAGAUUAACAGGAAUGCACCCUGCCAUCCUAUGACCGGCAGGGCAGGCUGACACCGAA